RNAcentral lists this small nuclear RNA (100 nucleotides) under Castor canadensis (American beaver). The record is from RNAcentral. Lineage: Eukaryota; Metazoa; Chordata; Mammalia; Rodentia; Castoridae.
GUGCUCACUUAGCACAUAAUGCUACAAUUGGAACAAUACAGAGAAGAUUAGCAUGGCCUCUGUGCAAAGAUAACAAAUUCAUGAAGCGUUCCAUAUUUAA